Molecule: small RNA, 4155 nt
Filed under: Pongo abelii (Sumatran orangutan)
Lineage: Eukaryota; Metazoa; Chordata; Mammalia; Primates; Hominidae
Description: retained intron
Source: RNAcentral
UUUGCCUCAUAAAAGAUAAAGCUGCAAUUCAGAGGAACUGAUUUCUUUUUGAUGUAAUUAAUAUUAAUGCUGGCUGUCAUAUUGUCCAUUCAUAGGUCCAGAACUCAGCCCAGCAACACAGGACUUGUCCCUACCCUUCUGCUUUCAGCCAGACCCCCAUGCUCAACCUUGGUUUGCACUCCAUGCCUUACCAAGUGGCCAUUCCACAGCCAGUCGCUUGCUGCCCCCUGCUCCCUGCCCCCAUGUGCUCAUCUAAUAUCACCUCUGGGGGCAAGAAAGGGGGCAGCACAAAAGUGGGAGUGAGCAGAGGGGCACUGGGUGUGCUGUUGUCUUGCAUGAGCGACAAGGGAGGUUUUUGGGUUCUCUCUGUCUAGUCAAACUAGACUUAUAGAGCUUUUUUUCAGACCUAAGCAGUAUAGAUACCUUCCAAAGCCUAAUAUAAGAUUUAUUUUUAAAUUAUCUGCAAUAAUUAUCCAUGCCAUAAUUCCCUGCCACCAGAAUGAGUAAUCAGGAAUUAAUGGUAGAGGCAUUUCUGCAGUGUACAUCUGCAAGGUGGAAUCUGUAGGCUCUGCCCAUAGGUGGAACCAAGGAGAACGUGGUUUAAUACAGUUAUAGCUGCCUCCUUCCCAGCAAGUGCCAGUGGGAGUGAUGCCUUCAGUUGAGCCAACAGCCGCCUCCCUGCCCCUCAUGGGCUCACCCACAGAAAACGGCAGUCUCAUCUGUAUGCAGCUCUGGUCACUGUAUUUAUCGUUUGGGUUAGAGUGAGGAGGUGGCACUAGUUUGUCUUCAUAUGUUCUUUACUCCUGAUUAAUACAUAAGAACAUACUUGCUGAUUUCACUUGCUUCUUUGGGCCUGCUUGUUUUAAAUUAGAAUAUCAACAUUUUCCUGGGGUCCAUUAUAACACAGCCCCCCCCGCCCUCCCAUUUUCAACUAAAAACCCGAACAAGUCUGGUACUCUCUAGAUUUGGUGUUAAGGAAACAGAACUGGCUCCUCUGUGGGUCUUCUAGUGUUAGAGACUUUUCAGAGUGAUUUUGGAUAAAAAGUCAAACGUUUACCCUCUUCGCAAGGUAGGUAGGGUAGAAAUUAUUUUCAUUUUAUAUUCUUCCCAGCCUCUAAGACUUAAAUUUUUUUAAAAAAGAAAUGAAAUGUCCCUGAACAUUUUGUUUCUAGGAUUAUGCUUGUGUUCAUCAGUCGGUUUUCCUCUGGUGUGAUUUUGCUGUAGUAGAUUGGGGGUGGAGGAGGUGGCAAGGAGGGAGGGGGUGGUCACCACUCGUUGGAUCUUAGGAUAAAGUUGGUUGUGUCCAGAGGUGACUGAUACACCUUAUAAUUUCAGACUGUUCCAUGUCAUGUGAUCACUUCCAACUAGGCUUAAUCCAAACCUCUCUCUAAAGAUAAUUCACAAUAGAGGACAGAGUGGUCACAUAAUGUUUCUUACAGUGACAUGUGCAUUAGAAUGAUUUGUAGACCAAAUUUCAAACGUUUCCUUUUUUGGCAAAUUGUGUCUGAAAUUAUUUGAUUUUUCUUUUAGAAAAACACACCAACUUUUAUAGCCCUAUGGCUGUGUAAAUAAGAUGAUUUCUGGAACACAAAUGGGCAAAUAGUAUGUAGAAUAUCAUUAGAAUCAUUAUAUCACUGUCACUGGUCCUGGGGUUGCCAGGCCUUUUCUGAUUAUCAGAUGCAACAAAUGACGUCCAAUUUUAUUGACCAGUUCGGCUUCAACGAUGAGAAGUUUGCAGAUCAAGAUGACAUUGGCAAUGUUUCUUUUGAUCGAGUAUCAGACAUCAACUUUACUCUCAAUACAAAUGAAAGUGGAAAUAUCGCCUUGUUCGAAGCAUGUUGUAAGGAAAGAAUACAACAGUUUGAUGAUGGUGGCUCUGAUGAGGAAGACAUAUGGGAGGAAAAGCACGCCGCGUUCACACCAGAGUCCCAAAGACGAUCCAGCUCGGGGAGUACAGACAGUGAGGAAAGUACAGACUCUGAAGAAGAAGAUGGAGCAAAGCAAGACUUGUUUGAACCCAGCAGUACCAACACGGAGGAUAAAAUGGAGGUGGACCUGAGUGAACCACCCAACUGGUCAGCUAACUUUGAUGUCCCAAUGGAAACAACCCAUGGUGCUCCUUUGGACUCUGUGGGAUCUGACGUCUGGAGCACAGAGGAGCCGAUGCCAACUAAAGAGACGGGCUGGGCUUCUUUUUCGGAGUUCACGUCUUCCCUGAGCACAAAAGAUUCUUUAAGGAGUAAUUCUCCAGUGGAAAUGGAAACCAGCACCGAACCCAUGGACCCUCUGACUCCCAGUGCGGCUGCCCUGGCAGUGCAGCCAGAAGCGCCAGGCAGUGUGGCCAUGGAAGCCAGCUCUGACGGAGAGGAGGAUGCAGAAAGUACAGACAAGGUAACUGAGACAGUGAUGAAUGGCGGCAUGAAGGAAACGCUCAGCCUCACUGUAGAUGCCAAGACAGAGACUGCGGUCUUCAAAAGAGUGUUGAAAUCCUAUCGUGAGGAAGGGAAACUGUCUACCUCUCAAGAUGCUGCUUGUAAAGACGCGGAGGAGAGUCCCGAGACUGCAGAGGCGAAGUGCGCCGCGCCCCGGCCUCCCAGCAGCAGUCCCGAGCAGAGGACUGGCCAGCCAAGCACACCAGGUGACACUUCAGUGAAUGGCCCUGUAUGACGGGUGACGUCUGCUGCUGCUGACUGAGGACUGCAGACCGCCACCACUCAGGGGCUCUGGAGGGGUCAGCUGGAGCCCACCAAGCUGUCACUGCUGCACUCACUCUGCAAGGGAUCAGGACCAGCAACCUUUAUAUUCUAGAUUCUAAGACAUUGUACAGAGAAAUUCAGAAGUGUAAAAAUAUUGCACAUUGACAAAUACCAAGAAUUUUUGCGUAUGUUUAUAUUGUAUUGUUCUAAAUAAUGGGUAGCCUGUGAAAUAAGAUCUUGCCACCCAUGUAAUAAUAGUAGUAAUACUAUAGUUAAAAUGGCUGUAAGAAUAGUUUUAUAAAAGUGAAUACACAGAUCUAUUGUAUUUGAAACAUAACUAUUUGACAAUUAUUAGUGUGACCAAAGUAUUAGGCAGUUUUCAUACAUUUUUCACCUUGUACAAAAUUACGAAUUCAUUUUUCUUCCAGGCUGACAAGGAGUUGUAGAAUGAAAAUGCCCUCUAAGUGUUAUUUUGGUUGUUCUAACUUACAAAAGUGAUUUUGAAUAAGAAAUAUUUGGUGUUCUUUUUAUAACCAGUUUUUGAUUGGUAAUCGUUUUCUGUAUUGUUUAAAACGGAUCAAAAAUGUAAGUCUAUUGGUAGAGAUUAAGUAUUUAUUGCUACAUCAUAGUUGAUAAAUUGAUGUUAUUGUAAAGCCAUAUGUUCUGUUCAAGUCUUGUUUGCUUGAAAUGAUUAUUCCUACAAGUGAAACACUAGACUAUUUGGAGUGUAUAUGGCUUGUGUUUUGGGUUUUUUUUGUUUUGUUUUGUUUUGUUUGUUUUUUUUUUUUUUUUGGCUUUUGUUUUUGUUUUUUGUUUCGUUUGGUAGUUCAUCUGCCUUUUAACCCAUUCACCAAAAUUUACCUUGUUAACAAGCAUCACCAAUGAACAUUUCAGAGCAAUCUGCAUAUUUAACAGACCUAAAUCCUAUUAGGCAAGUCAGUUGAAAAUGCUCGUGCUGCUAAUGGAAUUAGAGUGCGUUCAUUUUACAGGCUAGUAUUUUAAAAGUAGAAAUCAAAAUCUGGCACCGAAGCAUGCUAAUUGUUUACUGUACCUUGUGAGGUUUUCACUCAUAAAUUUAAACCAGUGUAUUUUUUUUAGAACUGGUUUGUGUAUAUAUAUAGUGAUUAUGGAUACUAAUUCAAUGUAAUUUAUAAUUUUCUAUGUCAAUACAAAAAUACAUCACAGCCUUCUCAAACAGCUGAAGCAAUAUAUUGUAUAUUGCCAUAUUGUCUGGUGAAAGGGUUAAAUUACUUCACCUCUUGCACUUUUAGAUGCAAAUCAGUUUUUCAUUUCUGUAAUAGAAAAUUAUUCACGUAUUUUUACAUCAUUUGUUUUUCCUGACCAGUAUUUAAAACCAAAAGGAUAUUCUGAAAAAUGGCCAACAAUUUUUUUAGAAAUAGCAUCCCAAGCAGCGUGCCUAAACAUUACAUUGCAUAUGGAAAUAAAAGAAUCAAACGUC